Long non-coding RNA from Gasterosteus aculeatus aculeatus (three-spined stickleback), 1278 nucleotides. Lineage: Eukaryota; Metazoa; Chordata; Actinopteri; Perciformes; Gasterosteidae. The record is from Ensembl.
AACUCAAUGUUCAGAAACAUAAUUCUGAAUAUUUAUUCUUUUCACUUUCAAGUCAGACUAGUCAUUGUUAUUCAGUAUCACACAGUUUGUUUCCCUUAUCAGGAUCCUCUGGCUGCAUCUCACUGUCAGAAGGUUGCAUCAAUUAAACACUUUUCUGACCUUAUUACUGGAGGCGGGAUAGAAGAGCGUUCGAUACCUUCUCCGGGGAUUUACACCCUCAAGCUCCCAAUUAUUUGCACGUACUCGCUGGGUUAGACUGGGCGGUCGUUUAUUUGUUAAUGUAUCAAAAUAGAAAUGUAAUAACAUGAAGUAUAGAGCGUGUGCUGCACGUAGCACGAUGCUGCAGCCCCCUUGCACCACUGGGGGGUCAGAGUGCGAGAUGCUGCAGUAAUAAGUCCAGCUUUACAGUCAGUGGCACCAACCAAACACAUGAAAGGAGAAUCGUACUUCACACUUUAAAAGCCUUGAUUAAAGAAAGCCCUCUGACUUCAUUUCAAAGUGCAUGAAGACAUUUUGAAGACCUAAAUAAAAAACAAAACAAAUGUUUUCACUUAUCAGAGACUCCUGUGAUAAUAAUCUGUGUUAACGUGGCCAACACUUUAUGUUGUUUUAAAGUAACAGACAAUAGCGGUUGACCAUUGUUGGUCCUGGCCUGAAUAUUGUUUUCCCUCUUUCUCAUUGCAGGUGUCGUGAGCACUGGUCAGUUUGAGUUCCUCUUGAACUUAAAGCUGGGGAAACCAUAAGCGAAUGAACAACUGGAAUGAGCGCUGUGUGUUUGAUGCAAACUUGUUACAUGAUAUGUAUGAUGCAUACAUAUUGCUGCAUGAAUAAUGUUUAUUUUCUUUCAUCUUUAAGUCUUUUAUUAUUAGUGUAAAGUGCCACCGUCAAUGUUUAAAAAGAGCUCUGUGAGCCUAUUUCAGGCAGAAGUGAUGGAUUUGAAAAAAUACGUGUUUUGUAAUUUUGUACAUUGUGUACAAAAUGUGAUGAAUAGAAGCACGGUAGACAAACGCAUGCAGAGGCUGUCCCAGCACCACGUAAUAUUUAUAACCGACUAAUGGGAGGAAAAACACCAAUUUACUUACUCGCUCUAAUAACUUGGGACCAUUAAGCUUGUCUUUUGAUGUGAUGUCCAGGUAUUGUUUUGAUCGCCGUCAGCAUGAACCUCAUGCACACAGCAAAUUAUUCUACAAAAUUAAACUGAGAAAAAAAGGGCACCAUGUUCAUUCACAUUUCAGUUUAUUGGUUUAAAUAAAGUUUUGUACAUUAACCUCUCCCUCU